This 750-nucleotide ribosomal RNA is filed under the name uncultured bacterium. Its description in RNAcentral is "bacterial SSU rRNA". It matches the Rfam family "Bacterial small subunit ribosomal RNA", at positions 54 to 805 of the family's 1533-position model. The record is from RNAcentral.
CAUGCAGUCGAGCGAAGCAGUUAAGUUGAUUUCUUCGGAUUGAUUCUUAACUGACUGAGCGGCGGACGGGUGAGUAACGCGUGGGUGACCUGCCCCAUACCGGGGGAUAACAGCUGGAAACGGCUGCUAAUACCGCAUAAGCGCACAGAGCUGCAUGGCUCGGUGUGAAAAACUCCGGUGGUAUGGGAUGGGCCCGCGUCUGAUUAGGCAGUUGGCGGGGUAACGGCCCACCAAACCGACGAUCAGUAGCCGGCCUGAGAGGGCGACCGGCCACAUUGGGACUGAGACACGGCCCAAACUCCUACGGGAGGCAGCAGUGGGGAAUAUUGCACAAUGGGGGAAACCCUGAUGCAGCGACGCCGCGUGAGCGAAGAAGUAUUUCGGUAUGUAAAGCUCUAUCAGCAGGGAAGAUAAUGACGGUACCUGACUAAGAAGCCCCGGCUAACUACGUGCCAGCAGCCGCGGUAAUACGUAGGGGGCAAGCGUUAUCCGGAUUUACUGGGUGUAAAGGGAGCGUAGACGGCAAGGCAAGUCUGAUGUGAAAACCCAGGGCUUAACCCUGGGACUGCAUUGGAAACUGUCUGGCUCGAGUGCCGGAGAGGUAAGCGGAAUUCCUAGUGUAGCGGUGAAAUGCGUAGAUAUUAGGAAGAACACCAGUGGCGAAGGCGGCUUACUGGACGGUAACUGACGUUGAGGCUCGAAAGCGUGGGGAGCAAACAGGAUUAGAUACCCUGGUAGUCCACGCCGUAA